AACGCGUGGGUAACCUGCCCCUGAAUCUGGGAUAACUUCGCGAAAGCGUUGCUAAUACCGGAUAUUGUCCCUUUUGCUGUGGCAAGAGGGAUGAAAGGUGACCUAUCCAUGGAAGUUGCCGUUUAGGGAGGGGCUCGCGUACCAUUAGCUUGUUGGUGGGGUAAUGGCCUACCAAGGCCGCGAUGGUUAGCUGGUCUGAGAGGAUGAUCAGCCACACUGGAACUGAAACACGGUCCAG
RNAcentral lists this ribosomal RNA (238 nucleotides) under uncultured bacterium. Its description in RNAcentral is "partial 16S ribosomal RNA". It matches the Rfam family "Bacterial small subunit ribosomal RNA", at positions 112 to 334 of the family's 1533-position model. The record is from RNAcentral.